UUUCCGUAGGUGAACCUGCGGAAGGAUCAUUAUUGAAUAAACCUGAUGUGGCUGUAAGCUGGCUUUUCGAAGCAUGUGCUCGUCCGUCAUCUUUAUCUCUCCACCUGUGCACAUUUUGUAGUCUUGGAUACCUCUCGAGGCAACUCGGAUUUUAGGGUCGCUGUGCUGUACAAGUCGGCUUUCCUUUCAUUUCCAAGACUAUGUUUUUAUAUACACCAAAGUAUGUUUAAAGAAUGUCAUCAAUAGGAACUUGUUUCCUAUAUAAUUAUACAACUUUCAGCAACGGAUCUCUUGGCUCUC
This 300-nucleotide unclassified non-coding RNA is filed under the name plant metagenome. RNAcentral's name for it is "partial contains small subunit ribosomal RNA, internal transcribed spacer 1, and 5.8S ribosomal RNA". The record is from RNAcentral.